UACGUAGGGGGCUAGCGUUGUCCGGAAUCAUUGGGCGUAAAGAGCGCGUAGGCUGCUGGAUUAGUCCGGUGUGAAAUCCACAGGCUUAACCUGUGAAUGCCGCUGGAAACUGUCUGGCUAGAGUCCGGAAGGGGCGAGUGGAAUUCCUGGUGUAGCGGUGAGAUGCGCAGAUAUCAGGAGGAACACCAAUGGCGAAGGCAGCUCGCUGGGACGGUACUGACGCUGAGGCGCGAAAGCGUGGGGAGCAAACAGG
RNAcentral lists this ribosomal RNA (253 nucleotides) under uncultured bacterium. Its description in RNAcentral is "partial 16S ribosomal RNA". It matches the Rfam family "Bacterial small subunit ribosomal RNA", at positions 524 to 776 of the family's 1533-position model. The record is from RNAcentral.